GAUGAACGCUUAGCGGCAGGCUUAACACAUGCAAGCGUGGGGCAGCACAGGUAGCAAUACUGGGUGGCGACCGGCGCACGGGUGAGUAACGCGUAUGCAACUACCCUGUACAGGGGGAUAGCCCGGAGAAAUUCGGAUUAAUACCCCAUAAUGAUAUUUUAGGGCAUCUUAGAAUAUUUAAAGUUUCGGCGGUACAGGAUGGGCAUGCGUAACAUUAGCUAGUUGGUAGGGUAACGGCCUACCAAGGCAACGAUGUUUAGGGGUCCUGAGAGGGUGAUCCCCCACACUGGUACUGAGACACGGACCAGACUCCUACGGGAGGCAGCAGUGAGGAAUAUUGGUCAAUGGGCGCAAGCCUGAACCAGCCAUCCCGCGUGAAGGAAGAAUGCGCUAUGCGUUGUAAACUUCUUUUCCAGGGGAAUAAAACUUUUGUUACGGGGUACAGGACUGAAGGUACCCUGGGAAUAAGCAUCGGCUUAACUCCGUG
This 487-nucleotide ribosomal RNA is filed under the name uncultured bacterium. Its description in RNAcentral is "bacterial SSU rRNA". It matches the Rfam family "Bacterial small subunit ribosomal RNA", at positions 28 to 507 of the family's 1533-position model. The record is from RNAcentral.